This 465-nucleotide ribosomal RNA is filed under the name uncultured bacterium. Its description in RNAcentral is "partial 16S ribosomal RNA". It matches the Rfam family "Bacterial small subunit ribosomal RNA", at positions 28 to 507 of the family's 1533-position model. The record is from RNAcentral.
GACGAACGCUGGCGGCGUGCUUAACACAUGCAAGUCGAACGGAAAGGCCCUGCUUGCAGGGUACUCGAGUGGCGAACGGGUGAGUAACACGUGGGUGAUCUGCCCUGCACUUCGGGAUAAGCCUGGGAAACUGGGUCUAAUACCGGAUAGGAGCCAUUUUUAGUGUGAUGGUUGGAAAGUUUUUUCGGUGUAGGAUGAGCUCGCGGCCUAUCAGCUUGUUGGUGGGGUAAUGGCCUACCAAGGCGGCGACGGGUAGCCGGCCUGAGAGGGUGGACGGCCACAUUGGGACUGAGAUACGGCCCAGACUCCUACGGGAGGCAGCAGUGGGGAAUAUUGCACAAUGGGCGCAAGCCUGAUGCGGCGACGCCGCGUGGGGGAUGACGGCCUUCGGGUUGUAAACUCCUUUCGCUAGGGACGAAGCUUUUUGUGACGGUACCUAGUGAAGAAGCACCGGCUAACUACGUG